CAGUGGCGAACGGGUGAGUAACACGUGGGCAAUCUGCCCUGCACUCUGGGACAAGCCUUGGAAACGAGGUCUAAUACCGGAUAUUACCCCUGGGGGCAUCCCUGGGGGUGGAAAGCUCCGGCGGUGCAGGAUGAGCCCGCGGCCUAUCAGCUUGUUGGUGGGGUGAUGGCCUACCAAGGCGACGACGGGUAGCCGGCCUGAGAGGGCGACCGGCCACACUGGGACUGAGACACGGCCCAGACUCCUACGGGAGGCAGCAGUGGGGAAUAUUGCACAAUGGGCGCAAGCCUGAUGCAGCGACGCCGCGUGAGGGAUGAAGGCCUUCGGGUUGUAAACCUCUUUCAGCAGGGAAGAAGCGCAAGUGACGGUACCUGCAGAAGAAGCACCGGCUAACUACGUGCCAGCAGCCGCGGUAAUACGUAGGGUGCGAGCGUUGUCCGGAAUUAUUGGGCGUAAAGAGCUCGUAGGCGGCUUGUCGCGUCGGAUGUGAAAGCCCGGGGCUUAACCCCGGGUCUGCAUUCGAUACGGGCAGGCUGGAGUGUGGUAGGGGAGAUCGGAAUUCCU
This 564-nucleotide ribosomal RNA is filed under the name Streptomyces sp. 384C09. RNAcentral's name for it is "bacterial SSU rRNA". It matches the Rfam family "Bacterial small subunit ribosomal RNA", at positions 93 to 671 of the family's 1533-position model. The record is from RNAcentral. Lineage: Bacteria; Bacillati; Actinomycetota; Actinomycetes; Kitasatosporales; Streptomycetaceae. RNAcentral also lists the same sequence under 1 other name.